GCUGGGUACAGUGGUGCACACCUGUAAUCACAGUGGCUUGGAAGCCUGAGGCAGGAGGAUCAUGAGUUCAACGUCCACCUCGGCAAGAGCAAGGUGCUAAGCAAUUCAGUGAGAUCCUGUCUCUA
This 125-nucleotide small RNA is filed under the name Marmota monax (woodchuck). The record is from RNAcentral. Lineage: Eukaryota; Metazoa; Chordata; Mammalia; Rodentia; Sciuridae.